Lepidothrix coronata (blue-crowned manakin) is the source of this 2728-nucleotide long non-coding RNA. RefSeq lists it as uncharacterized. The transcript is spliced from 3 exons. NCBI's taxonomy places the organism in Eukaryota, Metazoa, Chordata, Aves, Passeriformes, Pipridae. The record is from RefSeq and is a predicted model, not a curated record.
UAUUUUAAUUACUUUUCUAUUUUUUUCUACUUAAAUAAAGAAUUGACUAAUUUUCCCCCCUUCUUUAGUGCAAUUUCAAUGAGCUCAGAUAACCACAUGCAGAAUGACAACUGUACUCUUCUGUACCAAUUGUUAUACCUUGGUAUUUUCCACAUACACUCUUUCCUAAGCAAACACACUUUCACAUAAGCAGAUUUAUGCAAAACCCCACAAAUAUGGCUAUUUGUUUAUUCUGAAAGGGGGGGGAAAAAAGAUUGUAUGGUGAACACGAUGGCCCAGCAGAGUUAUUGUUAAAGCAGUAUCUUCAAUCCAUGUGAGUGCAAUUCAGAAUUUAAUUGCCUUUGUCGAGGCAAGGGGGAAGGGAUAUUACAGCAAGGAAGAUGGUUAAACCUUGCAAAAGUAUACUGGCAGGGAGGAUGGCUACUGGAAGAGGUUAAGUCACAGAUCAUGUGAAGAUGUUUGAGAGAUUGAUAUGUUGCCACAAUGUGAAUAUUUUCAGUCAAACCUGCCUACUUCCUAAGAGAGUAGUGGUGUUAUUUGUAGAUGUCCUGAAAUGACUGAACAGAAAGAACAUUGGGAAUGCUGGUUUUCACUCAUGUUGAACUGGAGCUGAUGCUUAAAUAACUAAAAGAGCACUAAUUUGAUUAAUGACUUGGUCAAAGGAGAGAGAGACACACCUGUGAAAAAAGUGCCUAGAGAUGCUAACUGGUGGGACUAUUUGAUGUGAUAACGAGACGAUGGUUGACAAUAAAUUCCUGUGGCAACCCAUAGCAAAUUUGAGGAGACAGGGCAGGAGAUGCUGGCAGAUGAGUCAGAAACCUGAAGUGGGAGAUAUUCUAACUAUUAGAGACAGCACCACACAUUUCUUACUUUUGGUCCUUUGUUUUUGUUUCUUUUUUGUCUUGUUGUUGUUUAGGGUUUUUGUUUAGUCGGUUUUUGGUGUUUUGUUUCGUUUAUUUAAAGGAAAACAACUUUUUUCUGAAAGUCCUCCUUAAGAUCUUUCUGUUAAAGGAACCGUCUGUGGCAGAGAAAUGAAGAGACCUAUUUUGCACAGACCUAUUUGAAAAUAUUUCUUGCCAGGAAACAAGUGCUUCUGAGCCUUUAAGGCUAUGCCUCUACAACAGUUCUAAGAUACACUUGCCUUCAGCAAUAUAACAGUGGUUAACAGAGGUCUACAGAGAAGUUAUUAGCACUAAGACUUAUUUAAGGGAAAUUAUUAGAAGGAAAAGAUUAUAUGGCCAGUUUCUUUCUCUACUUUUCAGUGUUUUCAUCACUAGCUCACUAUAGACUUAAUGUAUUGACAAAAUAAAAUUUUGCUCAUUCUUAUCUGCAGCAAGUGAGCUGCUUAAAUGGUACUGAAGAUUAUUUGCUUCUGUCACUUUUCUAUAAUUAAGGAACACACAAAUUACAUUGCUGUUGCAGCAUCUCCCCACUGUAGGUUUGGAUGUGAGAUUAAGUUAGCAGGGUUUACCAAGUAUCAUUUACACCAUGUGGAUGUGGGGAUGAAUAGGCUCUUAGCCAGCAGCAAAUAUGUGGUGAUGUGACAUGUUCUGACAGGAGAGAAGACUAAGCUAACUUGCACACGGUUUGCCAGUAGUAAAUGCAAAGUAAUACAUGCUGACAAUUCCUGCAGGCCAGCUGAUGCAUAGUGAGUUGUUAAUAGGUGCUAAGUUGAUGGUGCUUCUGAGCUCACAAGACAGUGUAAUGUAGUGUACCACACUGCUUUUGCUUAGAUCCUGUUCUGUCAGUAAUGUCUUCUCUGGGUUUCAGAUCUGUGUGUGUAUGAAUGUGUAUUUCAUUAGACCCAUAGCACCUUAAUAUUGCAAAUUGUGUCAUUGUUCACAGUGGUUGGAAUAGUCCUAUUUAGAAGUAAGUAUGGUAUAUGUAACAGGACAGAAAAAAACAGAAAAAUGGGAGUAAUUGUGCUAAAGGUACUGUGCACUAAACGGAAGCUUGCACCAACAAAAUAGAGAGGAAAAGCUGGAAACCAGUUCUGUGUGGCAACAAGAUGUCCCCUUCUGAGCCUUACUGAGACUGGAUGGAACAAAAUGCUGUGGGGAAGCUGUGCUGCAGCAGCCUAUGGCAGGAUUUAGCACAGACUGCUCAAAGUCAGAUAACUGGACAAUGAAACCCUUUCCACUUGCCCAUCCUCUCUAAUAUGGACAAAUGAAUUCCAACAUGAAUGAAGGGAUAGCAUAUGCUUUUUGAUUUGGGGGUUGAAAUUGAAUGCUAUUCACUGUGCUUGAAAGAUUACUGAACAAUAAGAGAUCGGGGAAAAAACAAGUAAAUAAAACACAAAACAAGCCUUUUCUACCUGUCAUUUUAAAGAAAUGGUAUUCAUUCAAUGGGAGCAAGAAAAUGAAAGUAAAUUUAGGAUUUUUUCCCUCCUGUCUGGAAACACAAGCCAAAAGGAAGAAGAUGAGAAAACACAUACGGAAUUUAGAGUGAAAAUAAUCUAGUGUGUAUGGGAGUGUUGGGGUGGAUGGGAUUAAGAGGAACUGUUUUAAUUAACUGAAGAUGUAGCAAUGGCAAGCUGGAUUUUGUCCUGCACUAAACAAACAUUGAGAUGGCCCUCAGAUUCCCGGAAAAGAAGAUUUUUGGAUGAACACUGUGUAUUCAACAAAAAAACAAGUACCUUAUAUGUUUACCUUUAACUUCUGGACAGAACUCAAAGUUGUUAAAUCUUCUUCGGCUGAUGCAAAGAAUUCCAGAGCCCUUCCCAAGCUGC